CUCCUCCUCCUCCUCCUCCUCCUCCUCCUCCGGCUGUUCCCGCUGGAUUUUCCAGCAGCCCGCAGCUCGGCGCUUCCACGGGAGCAUCUCCCUCCUCCACCAUUGUUCCCGGUCCCACCUGCUCCCGAUCCCCCUGUGCCCCCAGGCUUCGGGAGCGAGCCCCGGCACGCGGGAUGUUGUUUUUAGCAGCCUGACAGAUGCCAAACCUGAGCGCUGCGCUUGAUAAACCCAAGGUAGAUGUUGUCCUGCUUCCCUGCUUUUUCCUGGAGCUGGGGAUGGAACAGUGGGACAGGAAUUGCUGUUGGAGCACAGGAUGGAUCCAGAGGCUUGGAGCCACCCCCAUGUCCCUGCCCAGAGGUGACAGCGUGGGAGGAGAGGCAGAAACUUCCCUCAAAAGACGUGGAGAGGCAGGAAAAGCGGCAGGAGAAGCUCCAGAGGGAACUCCCUGGUUGCCAGGAAUGCCGAGAACGUUAUUAUCCUGCAAAAACCAGGAAAACCCGGAUGGUUCUGGGAGCCUACGUCCUGCCCGUGAACUCUGCUCACCGAGGGCGUUCCAUGUCUGUGUUUUAUGACUGAAAACCUCCUGGAUCUGUUUUUCCCAUUGCUGUUUUCCAC
RNAcentral lists this long non-coding RNA (615 nucleotides) under Cyanistes caeruleus (blue tit). RNAcentral describes it as "lncRNA (ENSCCEG00000006430.1)". The record is from RNAcentral. Lineage: Eukaryota; Metazoa; Chordata; Aves; Passeriformes; Paridae.